GGUAGUCCACGCUGUAAACGAUGCUCACUAGAUGUGGGGGGUAUCGACCCCCUCCGCGUCGAAGCUAACGCGAUAAGUGAGCCGCCUGGGGACUACGGCCGCAAGGCUAAAACUCAAAGGAAUUGACGGGGGCCCGCACAAGCAGCGGAGCGUGUGGUUUAAUUCGAUGCAACGCGAAGAACCUUACCUGGGUUUGAACUUUCGGUGACAGCCCCAGAAAUGGGGUCUCCCUUCGGGGGCACCGGGAGAGGUGCUGCACGGCUGUCGUCAGCUCGUGCCGUGAGGUGUUGGGUUAAG
This 297-nucleotide ribosomal RNA is filed under the name uncultured bacterium. Its description in RNAcentral is "partial 16S ribosomal RNA". It matches the Rfam family "Bacterial small subunit ribosomal RNA", at positions 789 to 1084 of the family's 1533-position model. The record is from RNAcentral.